RNAcentral lists this ribosomal RNA (497 nucleotides) under uncultured bacterium. RNAcentral describes it as "partial 16S ribosomal RNA". It matches the Rfam family "Bacterial small subunit ribosomal RNA", at positions 28 to 507 of the family's 1533-position model. The record is from RNAcentral.
GAUGAACGCUGGCGGCGUGCCUAAUACAUGCAAGUCGAGCGAACGGACGAGAAGCUUGCUUCUCUGAUGUUAGCGGCGGACGGGUGAGUAACACGUGGAUAACCUACCUAUAAGACUGGGAUAACUUCGGGAAACCGGAGCUAAUACCGGAUGAUAUUUUGAACCGCAUGGUUCAAAAGUGAAAGACGGUCUUGCUGUCACUUAUAGAUGGAUCCGCGCUGCAUUAGCUAGUUGGUAAGGUAACGGCUUACCAAGGCAACGAUGCAUAGCCGACCUGAGAGGGUGAUCGGCCACACUGGAACGUGGACACGGUCCAGACUCCUACGGGAGGCAGCAGUAGGGAAUCUUCCGCAAUGGGCGAAAGCCUGACGGAGCAACGCCGCGUGAGUGAUGAAGGUCUUCGGAUCGGAAAACUCUGUUAUUAGGGAAGAACAUAUGUGUAAGUAACUGUGCACAUCUUGACGGUACCUAAUCAGAAAGCCACGGCUAACUACGUG